AAUCAACGCUGGCGGCGUGCUUAACACAUGCAAGUCGAGCGGUAAGGCCCUUUCGGGGGUACACGAGCGGCGAACGGGUGAGUAACACGUGGGUGACCUGCCCUCAGCUCUGGGAUAAGCCUGGGAAACUGGGUCUAAUACCGGAUAUGACCCCAUGACGCAUGUCGUGGGGUGGAAAGCCUUGUGCGGCUGAGGAUGGGCCCGCGGCCUAUCAGCUUGUUGGUGGGGUGANGGCCUACCAAGGCGACGACGGGUAGCCGGCCUGAGAGGGCGACCGGCCACACUGGGACUGAGACACGGCCCAGACUCCUACGGGAGGCAGCAGUGGGGAAUCUUGCGCAAUGGGCGAAAGCCUGACGCAGCGACGCCGCGUGAGGGAUGAAGGUCUUCGGAUUUGGUAAACCCCUUUCGGGGAGGGAAGAGUGGGACGGGCACCGUUCGGACGGUACCUCCAGAAGCAGCCACGGCUAACUUCGUGCCAGCCG
RNAcentral lists this ribosomal RNA (485 nucleotides) under uncultured bacterium. RNAcentral's name for it is "bacterial SSU rRNA". It matches the Rfam family "Bacterial small subunit ribosomal RNA", at positions 28 to 514 of the family's 1533-position model. The record is from RNAcentral.